CACAUUUAGAGAGGGGGGCGGGGAAUUUCACUGGUGUGUACUAUAUUACUUCUACCCUCCCCUUCCUCUCUCUCCAGCGUAUGUGCAGAGGCAUAUAUAAAUACGACCUGGGUUCAUUCACAUUGCUCAUCUGGGUGUUUCUCUUCCCAGGGCUGGGGCCCAGAUGUCCAGAUUCUCCGGCUCUUACAACGAACACUUCAUCUUCUCCGAUGUUCCUGAGCCUCAGCCUCCUUCAGAUCCCUCCAGCCAGCAUCAGGAGUGUAAACCAGCAAUGGACUGCAGCUGCGAGCCAAGACUCCAGUCUGAGCGUCCCCACCAGAUGUGUGGGCCAAGAGGCCCCAGCUCCAAGGUAGCAGCCUGCAAGAAGGUGCUUUCUGGAGGUGGACUACAGCCAUCUGUUUGCUCCCUGUACAUAUGCACACAGAAGAGCUCACACACCUCCAUGUGCACUCCACCUGCAAACACACUUAAACAUGCAAACACACACAUAGACUGCCUUGUCACAAACACACACUCAUGCACACAUUCUCAAUCAC
Mus musculus (house mouse) is the source of this 536-nucleotide long non-coding RNA. RefSeq annotates it as predicted gene, 46787. The record is from RefSeq and is a predicted model, not a curated record. The transcript has 3 exons. NCBI's taxonomy places the organism in Eukaryota, Metazoa, Chordata, Mammalia, Rodentia, Muridae.